Molecule: long non-coding RNA, 559 nt
Filed under: Helianthus annuus (common sunflower)
Lineage: Eukaryota; Viridiplantae; Streptophyta; Magnoliopsida; Asterales; Asteraceae
Description: hypothetical non coding rna
Source: RNAcentral
UUGGAUAUUAUUUGAUUUUGUUCUUUAUAUACUCCAUCAUUCCACACUUCACUACACUUCACUCAACCUUCUCCUCUCUCUCUCCUCCAUAACCGUCCACACCAUCACCUCCACCAUCUUCAAAUCUUCAACUUUGUUCUUGAAGAUCAAGCUCCAUUCCAAGCUAGAUUCAAGUUGGUGUGAAGAUCUAAAGGAGUUUACAAGGUGUUUUCAAGUGAUUUCAACCUCCAUGUCAUCAAAAUCUCAUCAACAACUUACUUGAAUCUUGAAGGAUGGUUGCUUGUUCGACGAAUUAACAAUUUGAGGGAUUGUGUUAUCACAUAAAAACGCACCCAAAGGUGAUGUUGCUUGAUGUUGAUUGCUAGGAUGCAUGAGUCACAUAGGAUCUGGACGAGGCCUUAGUGACAUAAUAAUAAUGAUAGCCGAUAUAUAUAACCUGUUGUUUCAUGCUAAAACAAUGUAAAUUACUUAAUGAUUAAAUAAAACGAAACUCUUUUGUAUCCAUGGUUGCGAAACAAUAAUUCUGUUACAACACUCCCCGACGUUUCCGCCACGAUUU